AGUGAACGCUGGCGGUAGGCCUAACACAUGCAAGUCGAACGGCAGCACAGUAAGAGCUUGCUCUUACGGGUGGCGAGUGGCGGACGGGUGAGGAAUACAUCGGAAUCUACUUUUUCGUGGGGGAUAACGUAGGGAAACUUACGCUAAUACCGCAUACGACCUACGGGUGAAAGCAGGGGAUCUUCGGACCUUGCGCGAUUGAAUGAGCCGAUGUCGGAUUAGCUAGUUGGCGGGGUAAAGGCCCACCAAGGCGACGAUCCGUAGCUGGUCUGAGAGGAUGAUCAGCCACACUGGGACUGAGACACGGUCCAGACUCCUACGGGAGGCAGCAGUGGGGAAUAUUGGACAAUGGGCGCAAGCCUGAUCCAGCCAUACCGCGUGGGUGAAGAAGGCCUUCGGGUUGUAAAGCCCUUUUGUUGGGAAAGAAAAGCAGCAGGUUAAUACCCCGCUGUUCUGACGGUACCUAAAGAAUAAGCACCGGCUAACUUCGUG
Molecule: ribosomal RNA, 492 nt
Filed under: uncultured bacterium
Lineage: Bacteria
Description: partial 16S ribosomal RNA
Rfam family: Bacterial small subunit ribosomal RNA
Source: RNAcentral